Molecule: ribosomal RNA, 497 nt
Filed under: uncultured bacterium
Lineage: Bacteria
Description: partial 16S ribosomal RNA
Rfam family: Bacterial small subunit ribosomal RNA
Source: RNAcentral
GAUGAACGCUGGCGGCGUGCCUAAUACAUGCAAGUCGAGCGAACGGACGAGAAGCUUGCUUCUCUGAUGUUAGCGGCGGACGGGUGAGUAACACGUGGAUAACCUACCUAUAAGACUGGGAUAACUUCGGGAAACCGUAGCUAAUACCGGAUAAUAUUUUGAACCGCAUGGUUCAAAAGUGAAAGACGGUCUUGCUGUCACUUAUAGAUGGAUCCGCGCUGCAUUAGCUAGUUGGUAAGGUAACGGCUUACCAAGGCAACGAUGCAUAGCCGACCUGAGAGGGUGAUCGGCCACACUGGAACGGAGACACGGUCCAGACUCCUGCGGGAGGCAGCAGUAGGGAAUCGUCCGCAAAGGGCGGAAGCCUUACGGAGCAACGCCGCGUGAGUUAUGAAGGUCUUCGGAUCGGAAAACUCUGUUAUUAGGGAAGAACAUAUUUGUAAGUAACUGUGCACAUCGUGACGGUACCGAAUCAGAAAGCCACGGCUAACUACGUG